UACGUAGGUGGCAAGCGUUGUCCGGAAUUACUGGGCGUAAAGGGCGUGUAGGCGGCCAAUUAAGUCAGACGUGAAAACCAGGGGCUUAACCUCGGGAGUGCGUUUGAAACUGACUGGCUAGAGGAUCGGAGAGGGCAGUGGAAUUCCCAGUGUAGCGGUGAAAUGCGCAGAUAUCAGGAGGAACACCGAUGGCGAAGGCAGGUCACUGGGCCGCAACUGACGCUGAGGAGCGAAAGCAUGGGGAGCGAACAGG
Molecule: ribosomal RNA, 253 nt
Filed under: uncultured bacterium
Lineage: Bacteria
Description: partial 16S ribosomal RNA
Rfam family: Bacterial small subunit ribosomal RNA
Source: RNAcentral